GAGGCGGAGCCGCGUCAUGGCCGCCGGGCGCGUCCCGCCGGGCGCCCUAAGCUUGAGGCAGUUCCUGAGGCGGCAGCAGGUCCUUCAGUUAUACCGCAAGAUCCUGCGGGCUAUCCGGGAGGUCCCUGCUGAACAGGAUCGCCGCUACUUAAAGGACUGGGCCAGGGAGGAAUUCAAGAGAAAUAAGGAUGCUACAGAAGAGCCAGGGCCCAAGGAAUUUGUGGCUGAACUAUGCAGACAAAGCCUUAGAGAACAUAUAUAAUGUUGGGAGAAACAGCCACCUGCUCUGUAAAAGCCCUGUCUCCAUAAUGCCCCCUGCACGCUUGUCACUGCUGAAGUGCAGAGGUGGUAGACACAGAAGCAUAAAGAAAACAUUGUUAGGAGUUUGAAUCCAGUUAAAAACUGAGUUAUUAAACAAAACCACAACCAAGCACAUCAUUAAGGAACUGGGAAAAAUUAAUUCGUUUAGGCAUCUGUUUCUUAACCACCUCAGUGACUACAGUGUUACUUCACACAAAGAAAUAAUAGAUGACAGCAGUGCCGACUCUAUUUGGUUUUACAGGAUGCAAUCAGGAUGAUGAUUACUCAAGGCAACAUGCAACUGCAGGAACUUCAGAGAACACUUAAGUUGGCA
RNA transcript from Corapipo altera (White-ruffed manakin), 634 nucleotides. It is a transcript of the gene named LYR motif containing 2, with no coding region annotated. Lineage: Eukaryota; Metazoa; Chordata; Aves; Passeriformes; Pipridae. The record is from RefSeq and is a predicted model, not a curated record. The transcript is spliced from 4 exons.